AGUGAACGCUGGCGGUAGGCCUAACACAUGCAAGUCGAACGGCAGCACAGUAAGAGCUUGCUCUUACGGGUGGCGAGUGGCGGACGGGUGAGGAAUACAUCGGAAUCUACUUUUUCGUGGGGGAUAACGUAGGGAAACUUACGCUAAUACCGCAUACGACCUACGGGUGAAAGCAGGGGAUCUUCGGACCUUGCGCGAUUGAAUGAGCCGAUGUGGGAUUAGCUAGUUGGCGGGGUAAAGGCCCACCAAGGCGACGAUCCGUAGCUGGUCUGAGAGGAGGGUAGGCCACACUGGAACUGGAACAGGGUCCAGGCUCCUAAGGGAGGCAGCAGUGGGGAAUAUUGGACAAUGGGCGCAAGCCUGAUCCAGCCAUACCGCGUGGGUGAAGAAGGCCUUCGGGUUGUAAAGCCCUUUUGUUGGGAAAGAAAAGCAGCAGGUUAAUACCCCGCUGUUCUGACGGUACCCAAAGAAUAAGCACCGGCUAACUUCGUG
RNAcentral lists this ribosomal RNA (492 nucleotides) under uncultured bacterium. RNAcentral's name for it is "partial 16S ribosomal RNA". It matches the Rfam family "Bacterial small subunit ribosomal RNA", at positions 29 to 507 of the family's 1533-position model. The record is from RNAcentral.